CCUGGCGAGUUGAUUCCAGGGCACAGGGAUCGGGCAAAAAGUCAAUGGGCAGCAGGUGAGGUUGCGGCUGUGCUCUCCUUCCAGUCGACUCUCUCCUCCGAAGAGAACAGAGCUGCCCCUCGUCUUUCAGCCCAGCUCUCCUGUUUUCUCAGCACCUCAGCGGGACAAGAAAGACAGAGCCUGCCAGAACCAAGGUUCAGAAGACUUAAUUUGAAGCUAGAAGAUUGCUAAUGACUUCUGUUUAUAGAGCACUGCGAACUGAGAUCACUAGGUAUGCAUCAAAACUAAUGAAAAUAAAAUGUUUUGUCACAGAACA
RNAcentral lists this long non-coding RNA (316 nucleotides) under Bos indicus x Bos taurus (hybrid cattle). RNAcentral describes it as "lncRNA (ENSBIXG00000007278.1)". The record is from RNAcentral. Lineage: Eukaryota; Metazoa; Chordata; Mammalia; Artiodactyla; Bovidae.